This is a long non-coding RNA of Syngnathus typhle (broad-nosed pipefish), 1950 nucleotides long. RefSeq lists it as uncharacterized. Lineage: Eukaryota; Metazoa; Chordata; Actinopteri; Syngnathiformes; Syngnathidae. The record is from RefSeq and is a predicted model, not a curated record. The transcript has 6 exons.
CCAGAAUUAUGUUUUUGCACCGACGAAGAUCAGCCGAGUCUUCACGAGCGGUGGCAACAGCUGAUGAGGAACAUGUGUAGUUUCUUCUUCGUCUUCUGUGACCCAGCCAGACUGAUGCCGGUGCUCAUUUGCAUAAAAUUCAGCCCCCUUGUCUCCAAUUAAACAAGGAAAGCGUCUGGGGAAAAAAAACUAGUCCGGUUUGCACGUGGCCGGGGAUGAGCAGACGUCUCCUCUCUUCCCCACUAUCGACAUCUCUUCACAAAAUGUAUGCGAACCUACAAGUCCAAUUGGACAAGACGUAGACGUUGGCCCACACGAAGACUUCUUCGCACUGCAGAGAGAUGAGGCAGAAGAUGAAAAAGAAGAAGCGGAGGAGUGUGGGUGGAAGGAGGGAUGGAUAGAUGGAUGGAUGGAAGACUUUGCGGGAAGCGGCUGAACCCGGAGCAGGUGAACACAGCUGCGAAUCUCCGCGACGGGAUCUCGCUGGCUGCCUUCCUCGCGCCGGGGCCCCCCGGCGAUUGCGUUCAAGGGUCCCGGCGAGCCGACAGGGGCCAGGCAGAGUGGGCAGGCGAGGGCGGGCCCGAGCCAGGAGAGAUGCAGGUGAGGCGGGCGAGCCGAGGCGCCCGCCGCCGCCGGCUAGGAGCCUCCGCGCUGUCAAAUCAAUACAGAGGCUAGCAGAGGUUGGCCAGAACCGCCUGCAGGCCCCUUGGAGCCCUGGGACCGACCGCCAGUUCCCACCUCCAUCUUUUUUUUUUCCAACUUCCUUCAACAGUCCUGGGCCAGAGCCCUCACCCUUGCGCCCGGCCCACACACAGAUGUUUCGGUGUGGGCUCGGUCCGUAGGGAAUUUUUGAAACAUUGCCACUCAGAGGCGGGACUCAAGGGCGGAAAAAAGAAGAAGCAAAAAAUGUGGAGGACAAAAAGCAAGAGUUUCUUCUUGAUUCGCAAAGGUGGGGGGAGGAGGAUGAGCAGGACGCUCCAUCCGAGCCCAAUAUACCUUUAUCUCACAGGCUCGGAUGAAAGGACAACUUCUUCUCCAAUCUGCUGUAUUCUUUUAUUGCUUUAUAUUUCCUGAGCCGCACUAAGAGCAGCCGCCUUCAGAGGAUGUGGAAGUGCAGUAUUGAUCUGGAAGGUGGAGCGGAGGAAAAGAUGAGGGCUUUCACAGCUUCGUCUCCGCGUGGAAGCAGAAGUCAACUCCUCAUUGCUAAUGAAUGGCCCCUAAUGAGUCGACUUUUUCCCUCCCUCAUAUAAGACUUACCCUUUUUUUUUUUUAAACCCCUGUAAAAGAAAAAUCCAAAUGUGAAGACAAGUUGUGAGAUGAGACAUCGGUUCCUGAAAAGCUCAACACAGAGAGUUUCUGCUUUUUGGCUUGACAUGGACAGCACAGGGAUUGACUACGAUGGGGACCUCGCCGCAUCCAAGUGAGGGCAAUAUGGAGCAUGUGAAGAUGAAGCCACCAUUUGUCGCCGUGACGAUGUGAAGCUGCACUCUUGGACGGGAACACAUGCAACUAAGUGCAAUCUUUAUAUUUAUAUGAUUUUUUUUUUUUUAUAUGUCCACAUUUAGAUGUUACAAGUUUGAUAUGAUUGGUCUUUUUGGAUGUGACCACUUUAUAUUGAAGAAGUUUCUAAAAGGUAUGUUUAAGAAUACUAAAUGAUCAAAAAAAAAAUGUAUUUUUAGUACUGUAUCAUCAUUUAAUCAGAUUUUUUUAUUGUUAUAUUCUGAUUAUUUUGUCUAAUUAAAAGCAUGUAUUGCUAAAAUGUUACAAUUUGAUUUGUUGCCCUAGUUGAAAAGUUGUUUUUAAGAUAUGGCGACAUAUGGAAUUCAUUUGUUUUGCUCAGAAAAAGAAAAUACUUUUCUAUAUACAAUGAUCAUUUUUCCUCUCUUCAUUUGAUAAAAUUUGAUUUUUAAAUCCUAAAAACUAGGAUUACUUCUUUGGAAUGAUGUGAUU